AGACUCAACAAGGAAUUUUCAGCUUCCCUGCAGCCUAUAUUAUAAAGACGUGCAUUCUGCUGAGUAUUGUAUUUUUCAUGGUGCAGCUCCUCCAGACAGCAUUAAAGAAAAACGGGGGCUGCCCGACACCUUGGAAGUGGGGUUUUUGCUCAUGGUGGCAGAGGAUCUCCUGUGACUUUAAAGAAGACGUUUGCAUAUGCAGAUGUGGAGCAUAGUUGAGACUGCCAGCAGUAAGAAGCAUCUUUGUGCUUUUGGCCUUGUUAUUGUUGACGCAUGGAAUGCAAGACUACAUGCAUUACUUAAA
Long non-coding RNA from Dermacentor albipictus, 304 nucleotides. RefSeq lists it as uncharacterized. The record is from RefSeq and is a predicted model, not a curated record. NCBI's taxonomy places the organism in Eukaryota, Metazoa, Arthropoda, Arachnida, Ixodida, Ixodidae.